AUGUCGAUCAGAUCCACGGCCCAGAUGACGCACCCGCGGUUGAUGCCCCCGCUGACGUCCGCCGCCGCGUACGCCCUGCAGCUGCAGUUGCCGAGGCACAUCUUCCUGCACUGGUCCAUGGUCACGCCGGCGUGCACCGUCGCGCUGGUCGCCUCCGGCAGCUUCAUCCGGCUCACUGUCCAGAACCCGUCUCCGGCCCCGCAGCUCAGGUUGGUCGUCCUGACGCAGCCGCCGGAGCCGUCCCCGAGGCUCCACCGCUGA
RNAcentral lists this ribosomal RNA (261 nucleotides) under Triticum aestivum (bread wheat). RNAcentral's name for it is "partial small subunit ribosomal RNA". The record is from RNAcentral. Lineage: Eukaryota; Viridiplantae; Streptophyta; Magnoliopsida; Poales; Poaceae.